UAGCUCUGGUUUUCCUUCAUAACGUACAAAUCUUUCGCCUUUUACUAAAGAUUUCCGUGGAGGAGAACAAUUGAUUGAGUCUAUGAACUAAUUUUUCAUCGUCCUGCCUUUCGGCGGGG
Molecule: small nuclear RNA, 119 nt
Organism: Pocillopora damicornis (cauliflower coral)
Lineage: Eukaryota; Metazoa; Cnidaria; Anthozoa; Scleractinia; Pocilloporidae
Product: U5 spliceosomal RNA
Source: RefSeq, a predicted model, not a curated record